UAAUUUGAUAGGAUUUAUUCCCCCAGGGC
This 29-nucleotide non-coding RNA is filed under the name Mus musculus (house mouse). The record is from RNAcentral. Lineage: Eukaryota; Metazoa; Chordata; Mammalia; Rodentia; Muridae.